AGGUAGUAAUUAAACCUAUUUAUUUUGGCGGCUUCAACAAUAUUAGAGGAACUUGUUUAUUAAUGGAUAAUACUCAAUAAUUUUCACUUCAAUAUAUAAUUUAUAUAUCGCCAUCUUAAGAAUUAAUUACAAUAUUUCCUCUAAAUAAAAACUAAAAAGUUAGGUCAAGGUGUAAUCAAUAUUAAAGAUAAAAUUAGUUACACUAAAUAAUAUUUAAGGAUUUAUAUUAAAAUAUAUAAUAAAAAAGAAUUUAUAAGUAUUAAUAUAAUAAUAAUAUUUUUCGAAAUUAUAUCAUAAGUGC
RNAcentral lists this ribosomal RNA (301 nucleotides) under Zora spinimana. Its description in RNAcentral is "partial 12S ribosomal RNA". Lineage: Eukaryota; Metazoa; Arthropoda; Arachnida; Araneae; Zoridae. The record is from RNAcentral.